This 585-nucleotide ribosomal RNA is filed under the name uncultured bacterium. RNAcentral's name for it is "partial 16S ribosomal RNA". It matches the Rfam family "Bacterial small subunit ribosomal RNA", at positions 355 to 1375 of the family's 1533-position model. The record is from RNAcentral.
UGGGGAAUUUUGGACAAUGGGCGAAAGCCUGAUCCAGCAAUGCCGCGUGUGUGAAGAAGGCCUUCGGGUUGUAAAGCACUUUUGUCCGGAAAGAAAUCCUUGGCUCUAAUACAGUCGGGGGAUGACGGUACCGGAGGAAUAAGCACCGGCUAACUACGUGCCAGCAGCCGCGGUAAUACGUAGGGUGCAAGCGUUAAUCGGAAUUACUGGGCGUAAAGCGUGCGCAGGCGGUUUGCUAAGACCGGUGUGAAAUCCCCGGGCUCAACCUGGGAACUGCAUUGGUGACUGGCAGGCUAGAGUAUGGCAGAGGGGGGUAGAAUUCCACGUGUAGCAGUGAAAUGCGUAGAGAUGUGGAGGAAUACCGAUGGCGAAGGCAGCCCCCUGGGCCAAUACUGACGCUCAUGCACGAAAGCGUGGGGAGCAAACAGGAUUAGAUACCCUGGUAGUCCACGCCCUAAACGAUGUCAACUAGUUGUUGGGGAUUCAUUUCCUUAGUAACGUAGCUAACGCGUGAAGUUGACCGCCUGGGGAGUACGGUCGCAAGAUUAAAACUCAAAUGAAUUGACGGGGUCAUAGCUGUUUCCU